This 117-nucleotide small nuclear RNA is filed under the name Nippostrongylus brasiliensis. RNAcentral's name for it is "U5 spliceosomal RNA". The stretch from base 7 to 77 matches the Rfam family "U5 spliceosomal RNA", at positions 7 to 74 of the family's 117-position model. Rfam says of the family: U5 RNA is a component of both types of known spliceosome. The precise function of this molecule is unknown, though it is known that the 5' loop is required for splice site selection and p220 binding, and that both the 3' stem-loop and the Sm site are important for Sm protein binding and cap methylation. The record is from Rfam by way of RNAcentral. Lineage: Eukaryota; Metazoa; Nematoda; Chromadorea; Rhabditida; Heligmosomidae.
GAUCUCUGGCUGCUCUGCAUUUACCCGAGAAAAUCUUCCGCCUUUUACUGAAGAUUUCCGUGCAGAAAAGCAGAAAUUUUCUCGGGUAAAAGCAGAGGAGCCAGAGAUCUCUGGCUC